RNAcentral lists this ribosomal RNA (253 nucleotides) under uncultured bacterium. RNAcentral's name for it is "partial 16S ribosomal RNA". It matches the Rfam family "Bacterial small subunit ribosomal RNA", at positions 524 to 776 of the family's 1533-position model. The record is from RNAcentral.
UACGAAAGGGGCUAGCGUUUUUCGGAAUUACUGGGCGUAAAGCGCACGUAGGCGGCCUUGUAAGAUGGGGGUGAAAUCCCCGGGCUCAACCCGGGAACUGCCUUCAUGACUGCAAAGCUAGAGGAUGCGAGAGGUUAGCGGAAUUCCGAGUGUAGAGGUGAAAUUCGUAGAUAUUCGGAAGAACACCAGUGGCGAAGGCGGCUAACUGGCGCAUUUCUGACGCUGAGGUGCGGAAGCGUGGGGCGCAUACAGG